GCGCAGCGAAAUGCGAUACGUGGUGCGAAUUGCAGAAUCCCGUGAACCAUCGAGUUUUUGAACGCAAGUUGCGCCUGAGGCCAGCUGGCCAAGGGCACGUCCGCCUGGGCGUCAAGCAUUAAAUCGCUCCAUAAGACGCCCGAUGCUACGAGCGUUCUUAU
RNAcentral lists this ribosomal RNA (161 nucleotides) under Ophrys holosericea subsp. oxyrrhynchos. RNAcentral describes it as "Ophrys fuciflora subsp. oxyrrhynchos 5.8S ribosomal RNA". The stretch from base 1 to 114 matches the Rfam family "5.8S ribosomal RNA", at positions 43 to 154 of the family's 154-position model. Rfam says of the family: 5.8S ribosomal RNA (5.8S rRNA) is a component of the large subunit of the eukaryotic ribosome. Lineage: Eukaryota; Viridiplantae; Streptophyta; Magnoliopsida; Asparagales; Orchidaceae. The record is from RNAcentral.